Molecule: transfer RNA, 105 nt
Filed under: Candidatus Methanoplasma termitum
Lineage: Archaea; Methanobacteriati; Thermoplasmatota; Thermoplasmata; Methanomassiliicoccales; Methanomassiliicoccaceae
Rfam family: tRNA
About the family: Transfer RNA (tRNA) molecules are approximately 80 nucleotides in length. Their secondary structure includes four short double-helical elements and three loops (D, anti-codon, and T loops).
Source: Rfam by way of RNAcentral
GCCGAGCUGGCUCAGCCUGGUGGAGCGUCGGACUCAUAGGGUUCUGGUCAACAGACCUCUUCCAGGGAAAUCCGAAGGUCAAGGGUUCGAACCCCUUGCUCGGCA